CCUACGGGGGGCUGCAGUGGGGAAUAUUGGACAAUGGGGGCAACCCUGAUCCAGCCAUGCCGCGUGUGUGAAGAAGGCCCUCGGGUUGUAAAGCACUUUCAGUGAGGAAGAACGCCUGGUGGUUAAUACCCAUCAGGAAAGACAUCACUCACAGAAGAAGCACCGGCUAACUCCGUGCCAGCAGCCGCGGUAAUACGGAGGGUGCGAGCGUUAAUCGGAAUUACUGGGCGUAAAGCGCGCGUAGGUGGCUUGAUAAGCCGGUUGUGAAAGCCCCGGGCGCAACCUGGGAACGGCAUCCGGAACUGUCAAGCUAGAGUGCAGGAGAGGAAGGUAGAAUUCCCGGUGUAGCGGUGAAAUGCGUAGAGAUCGGGAGGAAUACCAGUGGCGAAGGCGGCCUUCUGGACUGACACUGACACUGAGGUGCGAAGGCGUGGGUAGCGAACAGGAUUAGAUACCCCAGUAGUC
This 465-nucleotide ribosomal RNA is filed under the name Vreelandella stevensii. RNAcentral describes it as "partial 16S ribosomal RNA". It matches the Rfam family "Bacterial small subunit ribosomal RNA", at positions 338 to 795 of the family's 1533-position model. The record is from RNAcentral. Lineage: Bacteria; Pseudomonadati; Pseudomonadota; Gammaproteobacteria; Oceanospirillales; Halomonadaceae.